Molecule: ribosomal RNA, 441 nt
Filed under: Triticum aestivum (bread wheat)
Lineage: Eukaryota; Viridiplantae; Streptophyta; Magnoliopsida; Poales; Poaceae
Description: partial small subunit ribosomal RNA
Source: RNAcentral
AUGAGCGAGGAGGCGAUGGUGGCUUUCAGAAGAUACAUUGAGAGCAAAGAUGAACUUAAGGGACUUGAUUAUGAAUUUGACGAGCUUGUCCAUCAAUGUUUCCAUGUGGAGCAUUAUUUGAAGACAUUUCAUCACUUCAACUUUACUGUCAAGACAAAGAAGCCUGGCUCAGCUGAUUGGACAUCGGUGUGGUACUUCGCUCAGGUCAAAUCGAUAUGCAUGAUAAAACGCUAUGUCUGUUAUCCUUUGGAGCAAGAUCAAUAUGGUGAAUGUUAUGCAUGUGAGAACCAAGGAAUGGGUGUCUUGAGGCACCCAUUAGAAGGGAUGUACGAUAUGGGCAGGGAAGAUACACAAUUUCCCUUGUAUUAUGAGGACAGUGACUCUGAUGAAUUUCGUCCAAUAGGAGGAUGGAGUAGUGAGUCUGAUGAGGACAUGAGCUGA